CCGGAGCCUACUCCUUUAAAGUUCCGAAAGAUGAAAAGGAUAAGCUGAAGCUUUGCCCGCUCCGGGGCGGAACUUCAGACGAAAACCAAACCGGAGAUACGCACGUAGAAAACCGAUUGGUGGUUUGAUUGGACAGCGGUUCGACUCCGCUCACCUCCACAA
Molecule: transfer-messenger RNA, 162 nt
Filed under: Bacteroidales bacterium
Lineage: Bacteria; Pseudomonadati; Bacteroidota; Bacteroidia; Bacteroidales
Description: partial transfer-messenger RNA
Rfam family: transfer-messenger RNA
About the family: Bacterial tmRNA, also known as 10Sa RNA or SsrA, is named for its dual tRNA and mRNA-like properties. Its role is to liberate the mRNA from a stalled ribosome.
Source: RNAcentral